Molecule: ribosomal RNA, 489 nt
Filed under: uncultured bacterium
Lineage: Bacteria
Description: partial 16S ribosomal RNA
Rfam family: Bacterial small subunit ribosomal RNA
Source: RNAcentral
ACUCAAAUGAAUUGACGGGGACCCGCACAACCAGUGGAGCGUGUGGUUCAAUUCGAGACAAAGCGAAAAACCUCACCAAGGUUUGACAUGUAACCGUACAUUUAUUUGGAAACAUUUAGAAAUCCGCAAGGAUGGUUACACAGGUGCUGCAUGGCUGUCGUCAGCUCGUGCCGUGAGGUGUUCCCUUAAGUGGGGAAACGAGCGCAACCCGUGCCAAAUGUUAAAUACUCAUUUGGAACUGCUCUGUUUUUGCAGAGAGGAAGGAGCGGAAGACGUCAAGUCAGCACGGCCCUUAUACCUUGGGCUACACACACCCUACAAUGGCGAAAAACAACGGGCAGCAAGCUAGUGAUAGCAAGCUAAUCCCUGAAAUUUCGUCUCAGUUCAGAUUGCAGUCUGAAAUUCGACUGCAUGAAGUCGGAAUUGGUAGUAAUCGCGGAUCAGCAGGCCGCGGUGAAUACGUUCUCGGGUCUUGUACACACCGCCCGU